GGAGUUUGGACCGUGUCUCAGUUCCAAUGUGGCCGAUCACCCUCUCAGGUCGGCUACGCAUCCUCGCCUUGGUGGGCUUUUAUCUCACCAACUAGCUAAUGCGCCGCAGGUCCAUCCUUAAGUGACCCCGUGAAGGGCCUUUCAAGCAAAGGAGAUGCCUCCUCUGUUGUUAUCCGGUAUUAGCCAAAGUUUCCUCUGGGUAUCCCAAGCUUAAGGGCAGGUUACCUACGUGUUACUCACCCGUUCGCCACUAGGCAUCCAGGAGCAAGCUCCCUUCCACCUCGUUCGACUUGCAUGUAUUAGGCACGCCGCCAGCGUUCAUC
This 323-nucleotide ribosomal RNA is filed under the name uncultured Anaeroplasmataceae bacterium. RNAcentral's name for it is "partial 16S ribosomal RNA". Lineage: Bacteria; Bacillati; Mycoplasmatota; Mollicutes; Anaeroplasmatales; Anaeroplasmataceae. The record is from RNAcentral.